GACGAACGCUGGCGGCGUGCUUAACACAUGCAAGUCGAACGGAAAGGCCCUGCUUUUGUGUGGUGCUCGAUUGGCGAACGGGUGAGUGACACGUGAGUAAACUGCCCUUGACUUUGGGGUAACUUCAGGAAACUGGGGCUAAUACCGGAGAGGAGCUCCUGCUGCAUGGUGGGGGAUGGAAAGUUUCGGCGGUUGGGGAUGGACUCGCGGCUUAUCCGCUUGUUGGUUGGGUAGUGGCUUACCAAGGCUUUGACGGGUAGCCGGCCUGAGCGGGUGACCGGCGACAUUGGGACUGAGAGAGGGCGCAGAAUCGUACCGGAGGCAGUAGUGGGGAGUAUGGCACAGUGGGCGGAAGCCUGAUGCAGCAACGCUGCGUGCGGGAUGACGGCUUUCGGGGUGUAAACAGCUGUCGCAUGUGACGAAGCGUGAGUGACGGUAAUUGGUAAAGAAGCACCGGCUAACUACGUG
RNAcentral lists this ribosomal RNA (468 nucleotides) under uncultured bacterium. RNAcentral's name for it is "partial 16S ribosomal RNA". It matches the Rfam family "Bacterial small subunit ribosomal RNA", at positions 28 to 507 of the family's 1533-position model. The record is from RNAcentral.